UAAAUUUUAAGUUAUAUAAACUAAGAACCUUCAAAGUUCUAAAAAAGAGUUUUCUUAAAUUUAA
RNAcentral lists this transfer RNA (64 nucleotides) under Metacrangonyx samanensis. Its description in RNAcentral is "transfer RNA Tryptophan". Lineage: Eukaryota; Metazoa; Arthropoda; Malacostraca; Amphipoda; Metacrangonyctidae. The record is from RNAcentral.